Molecule: long non-coding RNA, 1389 nt
Organism: Homo sapiens (human)
Lineage: Eukaryota; Metazoa; Chordata; Mammalia; Primates; Hominidae
Gene: ZNF300-DT
Product: ZNF300 divergent transcript
Exons: 2
Source: RefSeq, a predicted model, not a curated record
GGGAGAUUCGACUGCUCAGAGGGGAAGCGUGGAAUGGUGCGGUCCUCUCCAGGGAGAUUUCACUGUGGGAGAGAGGGACAAAAUCUGGGGGCUGAACAAUCAUUGUGUACUGUAAUUAUGCCAAUAACAACGGGUUUGAGAGGACGGUGAAAAUGACAUCAACUUCCUCAGCAACUUAAUUAUCUUACAUUGGAAUCAGAGACUCAUAUCACCAUGGAAACUCAGAAUCACAGAACCAUAGAAUCUUUGCUGCUAAGAGCACCCACAGAGUACAAUUUCUCUUCGUAACUUGAAGUUGUAAAGGAUCCUUGCCUGAAAAUGGAGACUGUUAACUCAUUUUAUCUCUUGAUUAGAAAUACAGAGGAAUUUGUUGUCACACAAAGGAUAAGCAUGCUGAAAUUUGUUGAUCACUGGUAUUUAAAGUGAAAUAAUUGUUAUAUGUUGCUGAUUAAUUUUUCCUUUUAUCACUAGUAAUUUUUUGCCAUAAAGUCUAUUUCAUAUGUAUAAUUAUAGUAAAACUAGUUUUCUUUUGAUCAGUGUCAGAAUAAUAUGUGUUGUUAUAUUUGGCAUGUAUUUGGUGUAAACAUUAUUUUAAAAAUUCAUUCUAAAAAUCUUUGCCUUUUUCCACAUUCGCUUAGUGAAAUUCUAAUAUAUUUGGUUUGAAAUCUACAUUUUUAAUGUUUGUUCUUUAUUUCUUGGUCCUGUUGUGUGUUCCUUUUCCACCUUAUUUGAAUUGACUGGAUUUUAAAAAAUUAAUUCCAUUGUUCUCUAUUGGCUUUUUAAUUUUACAUUCUACUGAUUUUUAGUUAUUUCUCUAGAAACUGUAAUAUCCAUACUUAAUCUACACAACUCUAAUAAAAAUUAGUACUUUUAUUAUUGCUAUUUUAUACAAACAAUACUCAUUUAGCUUCAUCUACAGCUUUACUCUUUGAUUUUUAUUUUUUCCUAUAUCUCAAAGUUUCUUUCUCAGAUCAUUUUCCUUCUGCUUCAAGAGUUUUUUUUAAAUAUUAACUGACUUAGAAUAAAAAACAUAUAAUUAAAUUGUACAGUUUAAUGAGUUUUGAAACAUGUAUAUACUUGUGACAUAAUCACCACAAUCAAGAUAAUAAACAUAUCCAUAACCUCCCUUUAUAAUCCUUCUUUUCACUCUAUCCCAAAUGUAUUCCCAGGAAGUCAUUGAUGUACUUUCUGUCACUAUCAGUGUUUUGCAUUUUCUGGAAUUUCCAUAAAUGGAACUGUACAGUACGUAUUUUUGGCUUGUUUCUUUCACUUAGCAUAAUCAUUUUUAGCUUCUUUGUUGUGUAUCUAUUUUGUUUAUUUACCUGUUGAUAAAUAUUCGGAUUGUUUCCAAUUUGGAGCUAUUACAAAUAAAGCUGCUGUGAAAACUGA